Molecule: ribosomal RNA, 452 nt
Filed under: Pseudoyelicones sp. Janzen03
Lineage: Eukaryota; Metazoa; Arthropoda; Insecta; Hymenoptera; Braconidae
Description: LSU rRNA
Source: RNAcentral
CCUGAGAAACCCAAAAGAUCGAAUGGGGAGAUUCAUCGUCAGCUCAUUUUGUAUAUAUAUAAGUUAUGAUGUGGGUUACUUGUAGUAUUGCCUAUACAUUCUUGUAUAUUUUAUUGCUGAAUGUUGUCGGCGUGCACUUCUCCCCUAGUAGAACGUCGCGACUCGUUGAGUGUCGGUCUACGGCCCAAGUGAUAGUCUUUAAUGAUAAAUUUAAAAAAGUCAUUAAAAAUCCUUGGUGUUUUCUGAUCCGACUACUUGGCGAUACUCAAACGGUAUUUAGCCGCAAAUUUAUUUAAUUUGCGUUCAUACCCGUCGCAAGCGAGGCCAAUUCAAUUACUAGUAGUGCGGACCAAGUGCCGUCGCUGGUAUUAGCCAGCUGUUGGUUGUACGGUGUUCUAGAACUGGCUAUAGAAAUUACCGGUCAGCGAUGCUACUGCUUUGGGUACUUUCAG